Molecule: ribosomal RNA, 292 nt
Filed under: uncultured bacterium
Lineage: Bacteria
Description: partial 16S ribosomal RNA
Rfam family: Bacterial small subunit ribosomal RNA
Source: RNAcentral
UUUUCAGCAGCCGCGGUAAUACGGAGGGUGCGAGCGUUGUUCGGAAUUACUGGGCGUAAAGCGCGUGUAGGCGGCCUCCUCAGUCUGGUGUGAAAGCCCGGGGCUCACCCCCGGAAGUGCAUUGGAUACUGGGAGGCUGGAGUACCGGAGAGGAGGGUGGAAUUCCUGGUGUAGCGGUGAAAUGCGUAGAUAUCAGGAGGAACACCGGUGGCGAAGGCGGCCCUCUGGACGGAUACUGACGCUGAGACGCGAAAGCGUGGGGAGCAAACAGGAUUAGAAACCCUCGUAGUCC